CCUACGGGUGGCAGCAGUGAGGAAUAUUGGUCAAUGUGCGAGAGCCUGAACCAGCCAAGUCGCGUGAGGGAGUACUGCCCUAUGGGUUGUAAACCUCUUUUGUCGGGGAGCAAAAGCCGGACGUGUCCGGCUGUGAGAGUACCCGAAGAAAAAGCAUCGGCUAACUCCGUGCCAGCAGCCGCGGUAAUACGGAGGAUGCGAGCGUUAUCCGGAUUUAUUGGGUUUAAAGGGUGCGCAGGCGGAUUUUUAAGUCAGCGGUAAAAUCGUGGGGCUCAACCCCAUCCAGCCGUUGAAACUGGGGAUCUAGAGUGUGCGAGAGGUAUGCGGAAUGCGUGGUGUAGCGGUGAAAUGCAUAGAUAUCACGCAGAACCCCGAUUGCGAAGGCAGCAUACCGGUGCACAACUGACGCUCAGGCACGAAAGCGUGGGUAUCGAACAGGAUUAGAUACCCCUGUAGUC
This 458-nucleotide ribosomal RNA is filed under the name uncultured bacterium. RNAcentral's name for it is "partial 16S ribosomal RNA". It matches the Rfam family "Bacterial small subunit ribosomal RNA", at positions 338 to 795 of the family's 1533-position model. The record is from RNAcentral.